CUUCGUGUGUCAUGGGAAUGUUCGCCUCUAUAUUUCUCAAUCGAGAUAAUAUCGAAGGACUUAUCAUGGGAAGGAUGUGGCCAUAGAAAAAAAUUAAAGCACAGUAGCUUAUGAUAUACUUGAACCAAAAACAGAUUAGCUCUCGGAUCAGUCGAUGGUGCAUAUCUGAAAUUAACGGGACGCAAUUGGUAGGUGAGCGUGGUCCUUGGGUCGUUUUCUAGCGCUACCCAACAUAGCCCACCAUUGAGUUACUUCUUCGUUUUCCUUCCUGUUGGUCAUGGGAAUGUUCGUCGCGAUUUUGAGCUUUCGUUUAAUUCGAUCGUAACUGCAGAACUCAGAUUGGUUCUCAGGGAAAUCGGUGCUGCAAAUCUAAAAUUAACGGGACCCAAUUGCCAUUUCAUUUUUCGUCGUCCAGUAAUUGUCUUAGCAUUGAAAGAAUGAGGAGGUGCAUCCUAUAUAAAGGUCGCCUGAUUUUUCAAAGGCACAUCACACUCAAACGCCACAUUUCCAGGCCAUCUACCUCCAUCUUCCCUCUACUGAACUUCUCAGCCACAGUGAUUCCAGGUUGUGAGAAUGGCUUCUGCAGUAGUGCAUAGAUCCGUCCAAGGCGUACAGGCUCCCAGAAUCCUCACAUUGAAAGAAUUUCAACGGAAGAAUGGUAUAAAUUUCAAAUUCUCUCUAAUAUGCUAACAUGUUUUCUCUUUCCCCUUUCUCUUCGUUUAAAUCUCAUAUCCGCUUACUUUCUAAAUUUGUAAGUAAUUAGAUAGAACUAUGAUUAUGGGCUGUGUUAGAAAUAAUUAUUGUCUUCAUCGUGUGGUUUGAUUGAAUUGUACCAAGUGUUUUCAAAAAAUUGAUGGAAAAUUAGAAAUUUGCGUGUUUUAAAGGCAUACUAACAUUGGUAAAAGAAAGUGGGGAUGUGAAACCAAAAUAUUAUAAGAUCAGAUUCUUAAUUAGGAAUAAUGACUACCGUCUGGAAGUUAACAUGCUAAAAUCAAUUAGUAUUGGGUUAACACAUUUUAUAUCGACAUACAACAGAUAAUAAAGGAGAAGGACAGAUCUACGACAUAAAUAAUCGAUCUUUUUUUGAUUGUGAAACACUUUCAUAGUAUCUGGAGCACAUCUGUUCAGUUUAGCCUCAUUGUGUUCUCAAUUGUAAUCGAUAUAAUCAUUAUUAGUUAGCAGGGAAGAGUAUCCGGAAGGGCAAAAUUUUGCCAAACCGCACGAAGUGAGAGUGAAACUGGCUGAAGGUAAGAACCAGAAUACAAUGUUUCUCCGUUUAAGUAUGACAUCCUCUGGAUUCAUUGCUUCCUAUGUUUCAGAGAUACAAUAGCAGAUUAAUUCUAUCUUAUAAAUUCAUUCAAAGAAUCCCAUUUUUGUUAUCACAAACUUCUUAGUAUGUCUGUUUAUUUGUUAGAUACUACAAGAGUUCCUUGCAGAAAAUAACGAUUGAGGAAGAGCAUCAGAUCGUCGACUGUACCAAAUAACUGAUAGAGACAAUGAUGAUACAUUAUCUUCUGAAAAGAUGCUCAGAGCAUACAUGAAGAUGAGUUGAAUAUGAUGCAUUUGAGGUGACACUAAAUGGCAACAUACAUGGUGAUUACCAUGGCAAUGAAUAUGGACUUCAAAAAGCAAAAAGAAGUUUUCAGUAUUUGUAUCUUGCUGCCUGACGGUAGAUAUGUGUGUUUCAUCAAAAUUAGGAAUGGUUGUUGGACCUCGACGGCGAUCCAUUGUAGCAUAUGUAAACGUAGAUCCUCUAGGAUUGUAUUUGGCACGGUCAAUUCAUCGUGGCACGGUCCUUCAAGUAGAACUGCGGAUCUCUCUCUUACCUAAAUUGUUCAAAAUUAGCCCACAAGAGGAGGCAGUAAUGAACAGGAAAUUAAUGGCUAUUAUAUUUUUAGCAGCUUUAGGAUCUGGUAGGGAGCAUUGAUGUGCUGGAGUUGUAAUCCAGAUAGAAGGGAACUUGUGGUUCUGGCGUAUUGUAUAAAAGGAUGGUGCUGGAUCAAGUUAAAGACAUAUGCAGUGGUGUCGUUAACAAUUUGGUUUGGAAUAAGAGGUUACCUAUUAAAGCUUCCCUUGUAGCAUGGACAAUUUGUCAUAAUUCUUCGCCUUCAAGAGUGAAGCUUCAGCGUAUCAGGGAGUCCAAGUACUGUCUUAUCUAUGAUUAUUGUGUUCAACAAAAAUGGAAGAUACAAGUCGCAUACUGAUGCACUGUGAGUUGUAUAACUAUAUCUAGAAUUUCUUCAUUUUGUCUUUGGGAUUAAGUUGGGUGCUACCAAGGGAUGUUUAAACUCAGUCUGAAGUUGGUGCUCCAUUAAACUCCAGGGAAGACGUAGAACUAUUGGUCAGAAGGCUCUUUGUGCAGAGCUAUGGAAGAAGGAAGUACUAGAUUGUAUGUGAAGCAAGCAAAAAGAUAACUUAAUAUUGUCAGUAAGAGAGUCUCUUAUUCUAGGAGGCUCUAACGAAGACUCAUUUAGGGGAUACUCUGUUUGGCAAUUUAUUUUUAAUUGGGAGCAGACUGAAAUGAUGUAAUUUAAUUGGUUUUUCCUGUUUCUUGACGAGCACUGUUUUUCGUCCUUUAUAUAAAAAAGAUGUUCUUUAAUAUAUUACUUUUUAUUC
Molecule: long non-coding RNA, 2616 nt
Organism: Papaver somniferum (opium poppy)
Lineage: Eukaryota; Viridiplantae; Streptophyta; Magnoliopsida; Ranunculales; Papaveraceae
Exons: 5
Source: RefSeq, a predicted model, not a curated record